AUGGAAACACCUUCUGUGCCCAGCACAGAUCCCAAGGUCCCCCCAAACCCUCCCUGCCCCGAUUCUGCCCAGAUUUGCUCUUUGCACACACGAGUCACAGGCUGAAGUCAGGAGCUGCCUCCAUGCCCAGAGGGAGGAAAAGAGGGAAAGUGGAUGAAGAGCUCUCCUGUGCAGAGCCAAGGUCCAAGUGCCCCUGCAGUGGGAACCACAACUCAUCAGCAUCUGACAUGUCCCCCAUGCCCAAGGGAUUUCUGCACAGGAACAGCUUUGGACAAAGACAUAAAAGGUAACUCUGGGAUAGAUAUAAAUCUAAGUAAGGUGUUGAAUAAUUAUAUAUGUAUUUCAACUUCUGAAAGAUUGGGCUACUACAUAAAGCUCAAAGCAUGUUUUAGACAGAGACAUAAGAAAGUGAAAUUCUGUGAUAUAAAUAUUAGUAAGGUGUUGACAAAUGUGAUAUUUAUUUGAACUUUGGAAAGAUUGGACAACUUCCUUAAGCUAAAAGCAUGAAACCAAUCAGUUGAGAGUCACUUGAAUGACCAGACAGCACCUAGAGGAGGAAAUCUGGGAGCAACAGGAAGGACAUUGAUCCAGCUGGUCUAGUGAACAGAUGUCUUUAGACAUGGCCAUUUUAACAGGAGAGCUGGAAACACCUGAAGGAAGAGGGAGAGGAAAUAAUAAACAGGAUAUUGGUGACACACGUAGAAGGCAAGGCAGACAUCAGCUGUGUGCCCAUGAACAGGCAGUGCCACUUGUGCCCUGAGGUGCCGAGCUGGGGUUGGAUCUCUCAGAGAGGAGCUGAGGGAGAGCAGAGCACCUUGCAAGCUGCAGGUCCCUGCCAGCCCCGCAGGGCUCCUGUGCCAUCAACAUCUGCCCUGCUCCA
Molecule: non-coding RNA, 880 nt
Organism: Taeniopygia guttata (zebra finch)
Lineage: Eukaryota; Metazoa; Chordata; Aves; Passeriformes; Estrildidae
Source: RefSeq, a predicted model, not a curated record